RNAcentral lists this ribosomal RNA (253 nucleotides) under uncultured bacterium. RNAcentral describes it as "partial 16S ribosomal RNA". It matches the Rfam family "Bacterial small subunit ribosomal RNA", at positions 524 to 776 of the family's 1533-position model. The record is from RNAcentral.
UACGGAGGGUGCAAGCGUUAUCCGGAUUCACUGGGUUUAAAGGGAGCGUAGGUGGGUCUGUAAGUCAGUAGUGAAAUCUCCGGGCUUAACCUGGAAACUGCCAUUGAUACUAUAGGUCUUGAAUAUUGUGGAGGUUAGCGGAAUAUGUCAUGUAGCGGUGAAAUGCUUAGAUAUGACAUAGAACACCAAUUGCGAAGGCAGCUGGCUACGCAUAUAUUGACACUGAGGCUCGAAAGCGUGGGGAUCAAACAGG